This is a long non-coding RNA of Piliocolobus tephrosceles (Ugandan red Colobus), 256 nucleotides long. RefSeq lists it as uncharacterized. Lineage: Eukaryota; Metazoa; Chordata; Mammalia; Primates; Cercopithecidae. The transcript is spliced from 3 exons. The record is from RefSeq and is a predicted model, not a curated record.
CCCGGCUGAGAGUGCCGGCUGGGGACCUGAUUGCAAUGUGGGCCUUAGGAUUUGAACCAAAGGAAGAAGAAAUUUUAAAAAUGAUAGCUGAAAUUGAUAAAGAAGGAAUUGGCACCAUUAGUUUUGAAGAUAUUUUUGCCAUUGAAAUGCUUGAUGAAGCUGAUCAUGAUGGAGAUGGAAAAAUAAAUGAGGAAGAAUUUUUGAGAGUGAUGAAAAAGACUACUCUUUAUUAAUAGUGUUGUUUUGGUCCUUGUGG